UUAAUUGAAACCAAAAUGAGGUGAAUUAUUGUUAAUAAUUUUAAUGAAAUAUUUAAAUUCCAAUUAUA
This 68-nucleotide transfer RNA is filed under the name Ibalia leucospoides. RNAcentral describes it as "tRNA-Asn". Lineage: Eukaryota; Metazoa; Arthropoda; Insecta; Hymenoptera; Ibaliidae. The record is from RNAcentral.